GCUUGCCCGCCACACCCUAAUUCCCAACGGUGGUCUCUCUCAAGAGAGCGAGCCCCGCGCGGCUUCGCAGCCAUCAGGCCCAUCACCCACUUCUCCACUUGUUGCUCCGCCGAGGAGGUUCUCGUUCCUUGGUUUUUCCCUGAUCGGCUUCUUUCCUCCGACUGAGUAGGUUCUCUGAUUAUUAAUUUUGAUCAGUUGGUGGUGGUGGUGGUGGUGGUGAGGUUGUUGCGCGGAGAUAUGUUUCUAUGAAGGCAUAUGGUUCUUUGGAGUCUGGAUAUGGGGUUGAUGAUGCAUUUGUGCAGGCUCAAGAGGUGAAAACGAGGGGGUUUGAUUUGUUGGUGGAGAUUAGCUAAUCAUAAACCUUGGGCUCUGGCUUACAUGUUAAUGAUGGUUUAGGAUUUUCAGCCCAAAAUUUACUACUGUUCUGAUAGUACUUUCAAUUUUAUGGAGCUGGUUUGAACAAAACAAGACAAAGCAACAAUUGGGAACAAAGGGCUUUGAGUCAAAAUCAGAUCUUGCAUUCAAAGGAGUCCAUUAUCUUAUGAACUAAAGGAAGUUCAAUUAUCAACUUUGCAAAGGGUAAGUUUUUGAAUCUCUAGUUGAUGACUACCUUUUUGUUACCAUUUGAUAUUAAUUCCUGAUUUAGUUAUUAAUUAUUGAAUCCCAAUGCAUGAAUCAUGGCAUCCAGAGACUUAACAUCAGCUGUUCAUUGGUGUCAAUUUUGAUUAAGAUUGGAUUUUGUUUAAUGUUUUUGCAGAUUUUGGAGAAUUCAUGGUUAAAGAUCAAGAGGGUUGAAGAUGAGGAUACA
Molecule: long non-coding RNA, 808 nt
Organism: Dioscorea cayenensis subsp. rotundata (Guinea yam)
Lineage: Eukaryota; Viridiplantae; Streptophyta; Magnoliopsida; Dioscoreales; Dioscoreaceae
Exons: 5
Source: RefSeq, a predicted model, not a curated record